UUCCAGGUGGCUCAGAGGUUAAAGCAUCUGCCUGCAAUGCGGGAGACCUGGGUUUAAUCCCUGGGUUGGGAA
Transfer RNA from Ovis aries (sheep), 72 nucleotides. It matches the Rfam family "tRNA". From Rfam's summary of the family: Transfer RNA (tRNA) molecules are approximately 80 nucleotides in length. The record is from Rfam. NCBI's taxonomy places the organism in Eukaryota, Metazoa, Chordata, Mammalia, Artiodactyla, Bovidae.